UACGAAGGGGGCUAGCGUUGUUCGGAAUUACUGGGCGUAAAGCGCACGUAGGCGGGUCGGUAAGUCAGGGGUGAAAUCCUGGAGCUCAACUCCAGAACUGCCUUUGAUACUGAAGAUCUUGAGUUCGGGAGAGGUGAGUGGAACUGCGAGUGUAGAGGUGAAAUUCGUAGAUAUUCGCAAGAACACCAGUGGCGAAGGCGGCUCACUGGCCCGAUACUGACGCUGAGGCACGAAAGCGUGGGGAGCAAACAGG
RNAcentral lists this ribosomal RNA (253 nucleotides) under uncultured bacterium. RNAcentral's name for it is "partial 16S ribosomal RNA". It matches the Rfam family "Bacterial small subunit ribosomal RNA", at positions 524 to 776 of the family's 1533-position model. The record is from RNAcentral.